This 594-nucleotide ribosomal RNA is filed under the name Fromia elegans. Its description in RNAcentral is "partial 16S ribosomal RNA". It matches the Rfam family "Bacterial large subunit ribosomal RNA", at positions 1816 to 2597 of the family's 2925-position model. The record is from RNAcentral. Lineage: Eukaryota; Metazoa; Echinodermata; Asteroidea; Valvatida; Ophidiasteridae.
CGUUCCUCGCGCAAAAUUUUUUGAUAUAUGAGGAAUACUGCCUGCCCGGUGACUUUUGGUUUAACGGCCGCGGUAUUUUGACCGUGCAAAGGUAGCAUAAUCAUUUGCCUCUUAAAUAGAGGCUGGUAUGAAUGGCAAGACGGGAGUUUAACUGUCUCUUUCUUAGGGAAUUAGAAUUUAAUCUUUCUGUGAAGAAGCAGAAAUAUAAUCGUAGGACGAGAAGACCCUGUUGAGCUUUAAACUAAGAAAGUAAAUAUCGAAGACAUCUUUUUUCUAAUAUAUUAUACAGAAAACGGAAAUUAAAUGAGGAUGUUGUGGUAUUUUGCUUUUUUGUUUUGGUUGGGGCAAUCACGGAGAAAAUACAACCUCCGGUAAAUAAAAAGUAAAAAGAGACUUCUUUUGCUGUAAGUUUUAAAUUUAUAGAAGUGAUCCACUUGGUAGAGUGAAUAAAGGAAUAAGUUACCACAGGGAUAACAGCGUAAUUCUUUUGGAGAGUUCAUAUUGAUAAAGGAGUUUGCGACCUCGAUGUUGGAUCGGGAUUUCCUGGAGAUGCAGCGGUUUCUAAGGGUUGGUCUGUUCGACCAUUAAAAUCCU